AAAGAGCCCAAGGUUUUGAGAUAUCCCUGGGUAGAAUAUAUUCCACAAUUCAGUGGGAAAGAAAAAACACAAACUGUUUUCAGUAUAUGUAUAUGUAUAUAUAUAUAUAUAUAUAUAUAUAUUUUUUUUUUCAAUUUUAUUUUAUUUUUUUAGCUUCCUUUCAUUUCAAGAGGCUAAGAGUUUUUGUGCCGUAGUGGACUUGUACAUGUGUGCUGAUGAGAAGAAACCUAGGCCCCCUAAAAUUGCAUUGACUUCACUAGUCAUUGUAGAUGAUUUGUUGUUGAACAUGGAAGGCCAGGAAAAAUGCUAUUCUAUUGCAUCGGAUUCGAAAGCCAUUGUUUGUUAUCAGUGAUAGCCGCGGCCAGAUUCUGCAGGAUAAUUUUACUUUAAAAAUUUGUGAACCUGUGAAUAUCUGGUAUCCUUCCUCAGCGUCGGGGAUAGCCCCAUCGUUUCUUAGCAUGCAGCAAGUAGGAAAAACUUGUCUUCUCAACGUUCUACGAAAAGAAAAAAUUAUAAUUAAAAAACAGGAUAUUAAAAUACUGGGUGCAGCACAAGUAAAACUCGUGUUUACAACAUAGAGAGUGCAAGGUCUGUCACCAACGUUGCAAGUACAACAAAGUCAGUAAAGACUGUUUAGGUUUUUUUGGUAAUCUUCAUUCCUCAUCCUAAACAAAAUAUCUGGUGUGGUGUAACUUUUGAAACAACGACGUCAGGUAAUCUAAGUUAUAAAACACAACACGAAUUCAACAACCUGUCAAAAAUACAUUUGUACAGCAAGACACACGGUUUAAGAAACAGGAAUUAGAGACUUGUUGAACUAGGAAAGUUCAUGAUUCGCAAGGGAAAAGAGGGUUCACGCUUGUUUUGACUUAGGAAAUUCGGGGAGACCGCAAAGCCUUCCUGUCAAGCUUCAAUAUUCCAACCUGACAGCUUUCUAAUGCAGUUGAAAUCACUUUGUGAAAUAAAUAAAUCAAUUAAAAAAAACCCCACCACCACCAACAUCCGUCGUGGAAAU
RNAcentral lists this long non-coding RNA (1015 nucleotides) under Physcomitrium patens. Its description in RNAcentral is "long non-coding RNA (PPAT_LNC000237)". The record is from RNAcentral. Lineage: Eukaryota; Viridiplantae; Streptophyta; Bryopsida; Funariales; Funariaceae.